RNAcentral lists this ribosomal RNA (504 nucleotides) under uncultured bacterium. Its description in RNAcentral is "bacterial SSU rRNA". It matches the Rfam family "Bacterial small subunit ribosomal RNA", at positions 36 to 518 of the family's 1533-position model. The record is from RNAcentral.
CGAACGCCUGGCGGCGCGUCUUAAGCAUGCAAGUCGAGCGGUAAGUGGAAGCUUGCUUCUAACCUAGAGCGGCGGACUGGUGAGUAACGCGUGGGUGACGUACCUCUGUGACGGGGACAGCUCCUAGAAAUAGGAGAUAAUACCGGAUACGCUGCAUGUUGUCAGAGGACAUGCAGGAAAGGAUCUUUUGAUUCGCACAGAGAGCGGCCCGCGUACUAUUAGCUAGUUGGUGAGGUAACGGCCCACCAAGGCGACGAUAGUUACCCGGCCUAAGAGGGUGAUCGGGCACAUUGGGACUGAGAUACGGCCCAGACUCCUACGGGAGGCAGCAGCUAAGAAUAUUCCGCAAUGGACGAAAGUCUGACGGAGCGACGCCGCGUGGAUGAUGAAGGCCGGAAGGUUGUAAAAUCCUUUUAUGACUGAGGAAUAAGUUUUCUGAGAGAAACGGAAGAUGGUGACUGUAGGUCAUGAAUAAGCAACGGCUAAUUACGUGCCAGCCGCCGC